UUCUGUUGGAUGCGUGCCUUUCCUUUGCUUCGCUUUGGUAUGUUUGGUUUGGUUCGCCUGCUUUCUUCUUUUAUGGUUGCCGGAUCUCUUCCUCCACCAACACUUCUAACCCUUUCUAUUUUCUAGCGCUAGGAAGGAUUUGGGCUCCCCUUCCCAUUCGCCUCCUCCUUAUGUGUCUAGAGAGAGAAACUGUGGCCUACCGGGAGGGUGGGUCAAAUGAGUAACAAGCAAGCUUGCAAGGCUUCCAUGGGGGGUUUGGAGGUUAAGCUGCUGCUGUACAUGUAACCACAACAGCAACGUGUGCCAGUGUUGUGCUCUAUACUUCUAUCCGCCCAUCCCCAUCACCUUCUUGCCCUUCUUGGUGUGUACGUAUGUGUGUUCCAGCAUUCAGUUGUUGCUUGCUCUUGAUACCAUUUGUUUCUUCUCCUUUUCGUAUUGGGUACGGGAGGGAUGUAGGCUGGCUGUAUUGUAUGGUCGCGAGGAUGUAUUUGUUUUGUUUAUGGGAUGGAUGGAUGGAUGGAUGGAGUCAGUGGGUGGACUGUGGCUGUCCUGUCGCGCCUGGGGUGGGAGCAGAUGGCGAGAUGGGGAAGCAAUGGGCCAAUGGCGACUGAAGCAGACUGGGCAGGUCCACCUGGCGGGGAUGCCGGCCUACGUCACUGCCCCUUUCGUUUUCUUUUUUUUUUGGAAUGUAUAAUUUGUGCUUACUGCUCAUAUAUGUAUCGUUUAAACAAAGUCAUAACGAUGGAAUGGGCGUGCAUCAUCGGAGAAUGAUGUGUCAGCCGCAUUCUUUAGGUUUCCGAGUUUUGACAGCGUUAACGUAGUGGAGCCACAAGUGACAAGCUGGGCUACUGUUCAGAUUUGUUAAAGUGUUCAUAACUGACUAUGGCUUAGAUUAAGCAAAUACUAAUUUGUGAGUCCUAAUGGGAAAUAUACUGAACAUGGAGAGAUAUGCUCAGUUCUCUACUCCAUCAGUUCAGAAAUAA
Molecule: long non-coding RNA, 983 nt
Filed under: Setaria italica (foxtail millet)
Lineage: Eukaryota; Viridiplantae; Streptophyta; Magnoliopsida; Poales; Poaceae
Description: long non-coding RNA (SITA_LNC007251)
Source: RNAcentral